AGUACGUGGCUGUGGCCCAAGCCUCUGCCUGCUGCUGGAGCAUGGCCAGGCCGUCGUCGUAGGGUUGCAGGCUGUUCGGGGGUCCUGGGUCCCACGGAGCCCUGGGACCUGAGGGACAGGGAUGUUCCCUUUUCCCCCUUGGAGGUGUAGCCAGUAGUUUGGCUUUACAGGGGGACUCUGUGAAGAGUCCAGUUCCCUAUUUUUAAUCAGGUUCAUUUUUCACCUGCUUAGAAAGUGGAACAUCUCCUGAAAGGUGACAAGUCGUGAUCAAAGGCAAGUCUCCAGGCAGAGAGUUGGCAGGUUUCCGAAGCAAAGGUUACUUAGAAGUGGAGGCUCCACUGCCAGCUUCCCCCCGCUGCAAAAUCUGACACUCCUCACCCUCAGGGUUCAGCAAGAUUCUCGGAAAGGCCUUUUCUGAUUCUAGGAGGUGCUGCAGCAGGAGCUGACUCGGCCAUUUCCUGGCCUCUUUAGUUGGAAGAUGACAGAAAGGCGGAAGCAGGGACUGCUAUUGUGAGGCCCAUGGCAGCCUUCCUGUAAAACAAAUUGGCAAAUUGUCACCUUCAGAUGGACCACAGCUGGCCCUCUGAACAGCCCUCCUUGGCCUUUCCAGAGUGUACAUGAUUGUGUCCCAUGUCCAGGGAGAGGACAGAGCCACCAGGAGGGUCAAGGUCGUGGAGGGAAACAUGGGUGAGUAAGAGAUGGACCCCAGAAAUCCCUCCUCAUGCUCCUCCCUGCUGUUAUCACAGGCCUUGGCUGCCUUUCUCAGGAGGCAUUCCCAGCUCAGAGUUGGGUAUGCACUAAGUUAAAGCAAAGAGGGCCCUACUGGAGUGAGGGCAAGGGGACUUGGUUGACCUCCUUUGGGGAUGUUGCGAAGCAGACCCAUUCCCGCCCUUGCUGGCUGGAAUGCCCAGUCCUUCCCUGCCUCCCCGGGCCCCACACACCCUGGCUGACACCUGUGCUGAGGACAUGGCCGAGGAGAGCUGAAAGGAGCAGAGGAGGGGAGAAACGUGUACCAGUUCCCAUACAAACAGGACCCACAGGCUUGGGGUCCCCAGAGGUUGGCAGAGCCAGGGGAUACUGGGAGCUGGAGGCCAGACAGGGGCACACUUUUGCCUCAGGUUGUUGAGGCAGUACAAAUAAAAACUUGUUGCUGGGCAGAAUUGAUCCAAAAACGAACUUCAGUUUCUUCAGAAGAGGCUCAGGUUUGGAAGUAGAACUUGAUAUGGCGGUUGUCCCCUUUCCUUAACCUGCGACUCAAAACCAAGGGCAAGUGGAUCUCUCACAUCAGACACAGGAGCAGCCUCCUAGAGUCUGCUGGAGCAGCUACCCAGAGUGAGAGAGGGCUACUGACUUUGGAGCUGAUGCUCAGGUCAGGGCCUGGUUGAGCCACAUCCCCGUCCUUCAUUCCCAGCCCCUGGUGACCUUCUAGAAGCAACACUGAGUUCGGCGGCUUGGUGUCCACUGGGGCACAGCAUGUCUGAGCCUAACCCAACAGCCUCUCAUUGGCUUAGCUUGUCUUCCCAGGUACUGCCUGGAAAAGCAGCCUCUGGCGGGGAUGUCUGGGCCUGCCCUUCCUUCCUAUCUCGACCUGGGUGGAAAUCCGACUCCCUGGGCCUUGUUUUCAGAGUUCCAGUGUUCUCUCUCAUAGCCUGUAAGUGGAGAAGGGCAAGCUGAAGAAGGAACAGGCUGUUUUCUCAGGGGGAAGCGGGGCAGCUCGUGUACGCCUCCCAGCAUCGCUGCGUGAUGGUUUCAUCCGGCCCUGAGGAUAUGAAUUUGGUUGCUCCAGGAGCUCCCCCAGCCUCAAGAUCCAUGAAUUGGAUGGAGUAUGCAUGAAACUGCAGAAAACCCAUGACCCUCCCUUACACAGGAAUGUUGCUUUCCUUUUAGGCUUGUCAGGCAGACUGAAGAGGAGGAUCCUAGGAGACUUUUCUUUCCUGAGAAACCCAAAGAAAGCAACAGCAGAUCCGUAGGGUGUGGGGGAAGGGGGCAGGGGAAGUGUAUUUUCAGUAACAGAGACCUAAAGCAGAAACUAUUUGCAAACAGGUGACCUGCUCAAUUUCUCCUGUGAUCUUUCAUUUCUAAUGCUGGUUUUUCCCCCUCAUUAAAAAACUCAAUUUAAUUUCUUGCUUCACCUGCAUGGUAAAAAUAAUUACAUACAGACAUUAAGCCUGCACUAAAAAUCAAUAUACAGAGAGAUUCCACCUUUGCUGUUAGUCAUCACAGGGCUUGUUGGCCACAAAUAGAAAGCAUUUAAAAUACUUCUCUUUGUAGAAAGACAAGUGAAACCAGUCACUAGCCCUGUUGCUGAAGAGUGGCCUUUGUAUGUUAGUGAAAGUCAAGGGUCAGGAAGGAAGAUGAGGCUCUAACAGGGAUUUCAUGGCGUCCAGAGCCCUGUUUUCUUAUUGGUGAAAGAUACAAGGGCUGAUCACCAUCAGAGAACACUAACUUCAGAUGCAGGGCCUCCACGCCACUGCUGCUGCCUUAAUGGACAUAAGCAUUCUUCUUUAUUUCCUGGAGCUCAAGCCUGAACCACAGGGGGUAUAAGGAGAACGCCGUAAGGCACUGCUGUUCCCAGGCCCCCGCCCUCCCAUCUGCACAGCCAUCUCAUCGCAGUCUCCUUCAGUGUCCUUGGACUCCCAGGGCUGCUGGGGUUCAGGACAGGCUGUUUGCAUGAAGAGGGUCUUUAUAGCUCCACCCAGAGGGGUUUGGAGAGUUUGACGAUUGCUGCAGGAGAUGGGAAGCUCUUGCCAUAUGAGGACCCAAAUAAGUAUUUAGGAGCCUGCAAAAUCAGCUGGGCCCUAAUCUACUCUCCAGCUGUUUCUAAGAGAGGUGAUCUGAAAAACUGUCACCGAGGAAACUGGUUGUGAGGAUUUUUAAGAGACUUGGGAGCCUGGCUAAUGUUUGAAUGUUUGUGAUAUGACAUGCUGUAUCUUGCAUCUUCCUGGUACAAGGUAGAUCAGCGGCUGCACACAUCAGUGGGUCUUUGGAUAGUCUGAUUUAAAUGUAUUCUGGCCGGGCACAGUGGCUCACAGCUGUAAUACCAGCACUUUGGGAGGCCGAGAAGGGCAGAUCACCAGGUCAGGAGAUUGAGACCAGCCUGGCCAACACGGUGAAACCCCGUCUCUACUAAAAAUACAAAAAUUAGCUGGGCGUGGUGGCGCGUGCCUGUAAUCCCAGCUACUCGGGAGGCUGAGGCAGGAUAAUCGCUUGAACCAGGGAGUCAGAGGUUGCGGUGAGCCGAGAUCGCGCCACUGUCCUGGCGACAGAGUGAGACUCUGUCUCAAAAAAAAAAAAAAUGUAUUCCAUCUGGACGUUUCUAGGAUUAGUCAACAGGUUCAUUGUUUUUAUCUCUACAGCUUGUUUCCCAUUGCAACAAGGCCUCCCACUGCAAGACAGAGAGGAAGAGCUCUGCCACCCAUGUGUGUAAGGCCAUGUGGAUACCUCAUGACAUCCUGGAAGGCCACAGGGCUGUGGCCGCCAUUCAACUUAGGUUGACAUGGCCAAGACCAUAGAGCUAAUGAGUGGCAAUGUUGAGCCUAGACCCUAAGUCUCUAGAUUCCUCCUGCAGGGCGCUGGGUGUUGUGGGGGCGUCUCUGAGGUGGGUCAGAGUGAACCUGCAGGGGCCACUUAAAACCCUUGCAGGCCUUGGCUCCUUCUCCAAAGAAGCCCAAGCCAGAAUGGCAGUAGAAGUAUCUCCUGUGACCGCAAGCCAGGCACUGAUUCUUAGGUUGCUUCCUGGUCCUUCUGUAUGUAUUGCUAAGAGCAGCAGUGUUCUUUCUUGCCACAGAGUGAGUCCUGGUGCAUAAAUCUGUGCUCAUGUCACCCAGUGCUUUCACCUGCCUGUUCGUGAUAAUCCUGGGACAAGACCCUCACCUGCCUGCACGGGGGCGGGGGGGGCGUGAGGUCUAGAGACCCAAAUGAAGGCCUCACUGAAUGGACUUCCCUGAGGUGUCGGGGCCACUGAUGUGGUGCCAGGGCCUGUCUAUUCUUCCUGCUAGCCAAAGGCUGGCUUCUCAAGCCGCUGGAUGAAUGGGGAGCCUGGAGAUGUUGAACAAGUCACGUACGUCUCUGAUUGCCUCGAUUUCCCCAUUUUGGCCGAUGGCAUCGCUAAAGCAUUUGAUGAUUCCACCGUCAAGUGUGAGAGCUACAGGAGAUAAAAAUUUUAAAUUACUAAUCACCCAUGGUAAUGCAUGGUAAUGCAUGCUGAACAAACAGUGAGGAGGCCAGACGCCACCGCAUUCCAAAACAGGAAGCACUCAGGAACUCUACCAGAGCAUGGCUGCCCUCUCCACAUCUGCACUACUGGACUGAGGGCUUAGUUGAUCCAUCUCUUCCACAGAUUUGCAGAGAUAUGCUCAAGCGUGACUUAAGUGACUUAAGGCUCAUGUGUUGCCUCCCUAUGUCAAGCUUUUCACCCAGUGAGCUCUUUGAGAACAGGGGCUGCAUUUUAGGACAUCUCCCCCAGUGUCUUCGUAGAACCAGGCAAGACACACGGCCUUGUUGGAAGUGCCAAACAUCUAUUCUUCAUCAGCAGAAUGGAUGAGCCCCUGAAAGGCAUGAGUUGAGCUGCGCAGUCUGAACUCAGGGAAGUCCUCGCAGCGGGCUCCCAAUUCCUGCCUCUCAAGAAGCAAGCUGAGCCUUAAAGAUGGCUGAAAAUGUGAACAGUCUCAGGGCCACGCAGACCCACCUGAGCAGUUGCUCUCUGAUGUCUCACCGAGCCAUCCACCAUCCCAGCGAAGAAAGGGCCUGCAAGCAGACCAGAAAAUGCCCCAUUCAGUCAUGCUGCUUAGUCAUGGCCCAAACCUGCAGCGUUUAAUUCUGCUCACUGUGACUUUAUUGCAAUGGCACACACAUUUACAUCACUUUAUGUGCGAUAACAGUAGAGAAGUUAGUUAGGUUUUUCUGUUUUUUGUUUUUUUAAGAUAAUGAGAAAAGUCUGUAAUAUUCAGCCAAAAUGUAUCCUUGUGGCUGGUGUAGAUUUUUGGCGAAAUGACACUGUACAUAAUCAGAAGAAGGCAAACAUGCAUAUUAUCUCCAUCUCCUUAUAACUGCACGAGAUAACAUAAAACUGCAGGAAGUAUCAAGCAUAAGAAUAAAAGCCGUCUAUUGAAGUCUACGUGGCAUCCCCUGCGUGCCCCAGGAACACCCUUCGGUGGAUUAGGAUGAGCACGCUGGAAAAUACACACCCUGCCGCUGCAUCUGGCUAAUGCCAGGCCCCAGCCCCUGUUCCUUAAGCCACAGAUCCCCUGAGUGUCUGUGUUGUGUCUGCUGGAAUUUAGUUUAGGCAGGUGACGUGGCUCCAAAGAAAGUCACAGGCUGGUUUCUGCUGCAGAGAUUUGUGUCCACUUCAUGCAUGUUUAUUGCCCGUUAACUCUAUAUGAAGCCACAGCAAAGGGGAAGUGAUGUUAGAGAGGUCACAAUCUAGUUAGUGGGGUCAAGACAAGAGAUGGAGACAGCAGGUCUUGACACUCUGGAAUCAUUCUGAUUUGUAAAUAUGACAAUUGAUGAAGGGGAAGAGUGCCUAGUCUCCAGGAGGGAUUUCCUGCUGAGACCCACCAGGUAUACAGUCGGUCCUUGUCUGCAGUGACCCCAGAGACAUUUAUUGCAACACCUGCACAUCAGGUUGCAGCAACUGUGUUCUGCCUGGCCCAGGACAGACUCUGCUCCACCUAAGAGUCAGCCUCUCCAAGGCAGCAGUGGGGUUGGGAAGAGGGGAGGAGGGACCUCCAUGCUGCACCAGCUCCUACAGAGCCAGCUCAAGCUACAUUUCAGGACAUCUUGGAGGCUACUUCUGGACAAUUGUGGAUUAGCUAAGUGACAGUCCAGGAACCUGGAUCCCAUCCUGGCCAGGGAGUUGUGGCUUCUGAGAUAAGGACUUUGUGCAUUGGAGAUAAACUGAAGUGUUUCUGCCUCUGCUCCCUCCAGGGGCGGCUUAUGGCACAGGCUCACCAAAUUGCAGGCCCCAGAGCACCUGCAACCUCAGGGAGCUCAGGGGCUUCCCAGCAUGGGCAGGGGAAGCCACAGAUUCACUUCUCCUACAGAUGCACAGACCCUGGGGUGGAUGGUCUAAAGCUCAGGAUCUUAUAAUGCAGAGAAGAUGGAAUAGAGCAGGAACCAGGCCCCUGUCUGGAGGAAGGAACCAAUAACAACAACAACAAAACUACUGACAAUGUGCGCGCUUUACAAUUUUCAAAGCGCUCUCAUCUCAGUCAAGGAAGGAUGCAUUCUUUCCACAGGCUGACGUUCAAAACCCAACCACCAGAAACAUGAAGAUAAAACAAAAGGAACCACCAGAAACAAACAAGACACCUGUCCAUCCUCCAGGUUUGCAAAUCAGAUCAAGUUCUGACAACUGGUAAAGAGGAAGAUGAGAAGAUCCUGCCAGAUAAAUUCUCUGGUACCUUCAUUGAUCUCAUUCUUUCACCAUCAAAGGGGAAUGCAGUAGUGCCAGCAGGAGCAGAAAAAAAAAAAAAAAACCCUAAAAAGAACAAGAGAGACUAGUCAAAGCUAGUACAGUGUUUCCCUGGUACUGAGUCAUACUUUUACAAUGACCCAGGCCCACGGCCUCAACUGAUGACAAAUAAUGAGAAUCCAACAAUCAUUCUUUCUCGCAUAUUCACUUGUGAAUAAAUGCAAGAACUGGUGUAUUUG
RNAcentral lists this long non-coding RNA (6651 nucleotides) under Homo sapiens (human). Its description in RNAcentral is "HSALNT0299163". The record is from RNAcentral. Lineage: Eukaryota; Metazoa; Chordata; Mammalia; Primates; Hominidae.